Salvia miltiorrhiza (redroot sage) is the source of this 776-nucleotide long non-coding RNA. RefSeq lists it as uncharacterized. The record is from RefSeq and is a predicted model, not a curated record. The transcript is spliced from 2 exons. NCBI's taxonomy places the organism in Eukaryota, Viridiplantae, Streptophyta, Magnoliopsida, Lamiales, Lamiaceae.
UUGAUUUCUUUCACACAGUAGUUGACGAACAAGUAAUUCAAUCUAUUUAAACCUCAUUGCAUCAUCCUCAAUUCAUCAUCACCAAUUCGUUUUCCUCGUUUGUUUUCUUACACCAACUUCUCGUCUGUUCAUUUUCGCUCAAGUGGUGCGGCGCGACUAGGAUAUGAAUUUUAAUUGUAUUACUCAAGUUAGCAUUCAAGUUGAAGUUCAAGUUCAAGUUAAAUUUCCAGGUGUGGGAUUUAUUUCAGUACAUGCACGUGGUUAAUAUUUGUCCAUUUUAAUAUUAUGUGUUUACCGUAUGUGUUGUAAAAAUAUUUAUCGCUAGGGGCCAGCAUAAUUGGUCCAGGACUUCACCGUCCUUGGUAUGCCACAAUGCGAUUUCAUGUUACAGGGUUGCAACCAUUAUAUUGUCGCCAGGGGCCCACAUAUAGGGUCCGGGACAUUAAAGUCCUUGGAGUUGCCACAGUGCGUAUGGAAGUUAUGUUACGUUAUGACAAUAUGUGUUACCAUUUUAUUAACAUGGACAAUUAUUGCAUGUUCCCACACUGAGUGUACCCUGUAUACUCAUCCCAUAUUCAACAGUUUCAGGUGAUUGAUAUUGGAGGCGCGUGGAGAGUCGAAUGGGCGCGUCGAAUCUAUUUAAAAUAAAUGUUUUUCAAAACAUAUUAUGUUAUUUCAUGUUAUAUCUUUUGGUUAUGUAAACUCUGAAAUUCUAUACUAUUUGAGAUUUGUGUGUGAUUUAUUUAAAUAAAUGUUGUUAUAUUAUUUUAAUGUCA